GACGAACGCUGGCGGCGUGCUUAACACAUGCAAGUCGAACGGAAAGGCUCUGCUUGCAGGGUACUCGAGUGGCGAACGGGUGAGUAACACGUGGGUGAUCUGCCCUGCACUUCGGGAUAAGCCUGGGAAACUGGGUCUAAUACCGGAUAGGAGCCAUUUUUAGUGUGAUGGUUGGAAAGUUUUUUCGGUGUAGGAUGAGCUCGCGGCCUAUCAGCUUGUUGGUGGGGUAAUGGCCUACCAAGGCGGCGACGGGUAGCCGGCCUGAGAGGGUGGACGGCCACAUUGGGACUGAGAGACGGCCCAGACUCCUACGGGAGGCAGCAGUGGGGAAGAUUGCACAAUGGGCGCAAGCCUGAUGCAGCGACGCCGCGUGGGGGAUGACGGCCUUCGGGUUGUAAACUCCUUUCGCUAGGGACGAAGCUUUUUGUGACGGUACCUAGAGAAGAAGCACCGGCUAACUACGUG
RNAcentral lists this ribosomal RNA (465 nucleotides) under uncultured bacterium. Its description in RNAcentral is "partial 16S ribosomal RNA". It matches the Rfam family "Bacterial small subunit ribosomal RNA", at positions 28 to 507 of the family's 1533-position model. The record is from RNAcentral.